GAUGAACGCUGGCGGCGUGCCUAAUACAUGCAAGUCGAGCGAACGGACGAGAAGCUUGCUUCUCUGAUGUUAGCGGCGGACGGGUGAGUAACACGUGGAUAACCUACCUAUAAGACUGGGAUAACUUCGGGAAACCGGAGCUAAUACCGGAUAAUAUUUUGAACCGCAUGGUUCAAAAGUGAAAGACGGUCUUGCUGUCACUUAUCGAUGGAUCCGCGCUGCAUUAGCUAGUUGGUAAGGUAACGGCUUACCAAGGCAACGAUGCAUAGCCGACCUGAGAGGGUGAUCGGCCACACUGGAACUGAGACACGGUCCAGACUCCUACGGGAGGCAGCAGUAGGGAAGCUUCCGCAAUGGGCGAAAGCCUGACGGAGCAACGCCGCGUGAGUGAUGAAGGUCUUCGGAUCGUAAAACUCUGUUAUUAGGGAAGAACAUAUGUGUAAGUAACUGUGCACAUCUUGACGGUACCUAAUCAGAAAGCCACGGCUAACUACGUG
This 497-nucleotide ribosomal RNA is filed under the name uncultured bacterium. Its description in RNAcentral is "partial 16S ribosomal RNA". It matches the Rfam family "Bacterial small subunit ribosomal RNA", at positions 28 to 507 of the family's 1533-position model. The record is from RNAcentral.